CCUACGGGAGGCAGCAGUGAGGAAUAUUGGUCAAUGGGCGCAAGCCUGAACCAGCCAAGUCGCGUGAGGGAUGACGGUCCUAUGGAUUGUAAACCUCUUUUGUCGGGGAGCAAGGCCCGCCACGUGUGGCGGGAAGGAGAGUACCCGAAGAAAAAGCAUCGGCUAACUCCGGGCCAGCAGCCGCGGUAAUACGGAGGAUGCGAGGGUUAUCCGGAUUUAUUGGGUUAAAGGGGUGCGUAGGCGGAAGGUUAAGUCAGCGUGCAAAUGUCGGUGUCCAACACCGGCCUGCCGUUGAAACUGGUGUGCUUGAGUGAGCUAGAGGUAUGCGGAAUGCGUGGUGUAGCGGUGAAAUGCAUAGAGAUCACGCAGAACUCCGAUUGCGAAGGCAGCAUACCGGCGCUCAACUGACGCUGAGGCACGAAAGCGUGGGGAUCGAACAGGAUUAGAUACCCUAGUAGUC
RNAcentral lists this ribosomal RNA (460 nucleotides) under uncultured bacterium. RNAcentral's name for it is "partial 16S ribosomal RNA". It matches the Rfam family "Bacterial small subunit ribosomal RNA", at positions 338 to 795 of the family's 1533-position model. The record is from RNAcentral.